AGAAAGAGAGAGAGAGAAAGAGAGAGAGAGAGAGAGAGAGAGAGAGAGAGAGAGAGAGAGAGAGAGAGAGAGAGAGAACACACAAGCGAGCUCAUAAUGGUUAGGGAGGCAUGUCAGCAGGCUAUUAGAACAGGAAGCUGAGAUAUCACAUCUUCAGCUACAAUCAGGAAGCAGAAAGUGAACUGGAAGGAGGCAAUUAUGUUGAAACUUUAACCUCUGGUACCUGCAAAUAUGGCCUCAUUUGAAAAAAAAAAAAAAAGUCCAAGCAAUCAGGUGAAGAUGAGGCCAAACUGCUGGAUCACAGGGCCAAUGGCUGCUGUCCUCGUCAUGAAAAGAUUUAUAGGCAUGGAGAUAGCACUUGAAGAUGGAGGUAGAUGAUGGUAUUCUGCUGCUACAAGCCAAGGAAUGCCAAGGAUCAGUAGAAAAUACCAGAAAGCAGAGACAGGUAUUGCCUCUGUGCCUAGGGGUGGAAGGAAUUGAACAGUCACCGGGAGCAAGAGAUGCCACACUGCCACUCACCCAGUAUGAGCCAUGAUUCUCAUCACUAUAAACAACCAGCAAGAAGCAA
Mastomys coucha (southern multimammate mouse) is the source of this 568-nucleotide long non-coding RNA. RefSeq lists it as uncharacterized. Lineage: Eukaryota; Metazoa; Chordata; Mammalia; Rodentia; Muridae. The record is from RefSeq and is a predicted model, not a curated record. The transcript has 3 exons.